RNAcentral lists this unclassified non-coding RNA (21 nucleotides) under Mus musculus (house mouse). Its description in RNAcentral is "oocyte_clustered_small_RNA8231". Lineage: Eukaryota; Metazoa; Chordata; Mammalia; Rodentia; Muridae. The record is from RNAcentral.
UGGAAAACUGUGGGGCAAUGG